This 393-nucleotide ribosomal RNA is filed under the name uncultured bacterium. RNAcentral describes it as "bacterial SSU rRNA". It matches the Rfam family "Bacterial small subunit ribosomal RNA", at positions 361 to 771 of the family's 1533-position model. The record is from RNAcentral.
AUAUUGGACAAUGGGCGAAAGCCUGAUCCAGCAAUGCCGCGUGAGUGAUGAAGGCCUUAGGGUUGUAAAGCUCUUUUACCAGGGAUGAUAAUGACAGUACCUGGAGAAUAAGCUCCGGCUAACUCCGUGCCAGCAGCCGCGGUAAUACGGAGGGCGCUAGCGUUGUUCGGAAUUACUGGGCGUAAAGCGUACGCAGGUGGCGGGACAAGUCGGAUGUGAAAGCCCGGGGCUCAACCCCGGAUGUGCAUCCGAUACUGUUCUGCUGGAGUCCGGAAGAGGAGAGCGGAAUUCCCAGUGUAGAGGUGAAAUUCGUAGAUAUUGGGAAGAACACCGGUGGCGAAGGCGGCUCUCUGGUCCGGUACUGACACUCAAGUACGAAAGCGUGGGGAGCAA